Rhincodon typus (whale shark) is the source of this 794-nucleotide RNA transcript. RefSeq lists it as uncharacterized. Lineage: Eukaryota; Metazoa; Chordata; Chondrichthyes; Orectolobiformes; Rhincodontidae. The transcript has 4 exons. The record is from RefSeq and is a predicted model, not a curated record.
UGUUGACUUUUUAUUAUUUUGUAGCUGAUCUUUUUUAAUUUCCCAUCUUUUUAAUCAGGAAGAAGAUGAAGCAGAAGUUGAGAGUACUAAAAAAUCCCCCUCUGAAAGCACUGAUGACCUAGUUGAUGAGUACCGUCCGGGCAAGAUUCGAGGUGGCAGCAGCUAUGAAAAAAUGCUGACGAGAGAAGAAUUGGAGGAAGAACAACGGGUUGAAUUAACCCCUGACCUCACCUCGGUGUAGGUUCUAAGCCUGAUGACACUAUUUCUGUAGCAAUAUAUUGAGCAGAUGAGUAGAACCAAUCGGGAGAGCCUUUCAUGCAUGCGAAGGAAUUAAGUGGCUGUGGGCUUGAAUUUUCAGAUGUCAAGCCAAAAAAUACCGACAAGUUUAUCCUCAGUAGGGAGGUGCUGUUGAAGAUUCUGUAAUAGAUGUUGCAGUAGAGUCUAAUACAAUAGUAUACAUUUAAUUUAGUCACUUAAUUCACUGUACUUUCAGUUAAGAGCUACAUAUUGCAGACUAUCAAACACAAUGUUAAAGUUAGUGCACAGCAAACUGUAUAUCUUGGUGUAACUAAUGCAGGACAACCCUUUUUUUUUGUUUCUCUGAACAAUGCAAAAUUGUUUGGUUUGUUUAAGCCUUAAAGCGGAAUUUAACAGGGUUGUAGUGUAUUAACUCUUUUUCUGGGGAUGUUUUAGUUCAAGAUGGAUUUGUAAUUUUGAAAUGGCAACAUUUGCUUUAUCUAUUACAUAUGUCUCUACCUUUUUUGACCAUGUUCAAUAAAGUCUCGAUUACUAGA